This 229-nucleotide ribosomal RNA is filed under the name uncultured bacterium. RNAcentral describes it as "partial 16S ribosomal RNA". It matches the Rfam family "Bacterial small subunit ribosomal RNA", at positions 568 to 796 of the family's 1533-position model. The record is from RNAcentral.
CGUGUAGGCGGAACGGAAAGUACCUUGUGAAAGCCCCCGGCUCAACCGGGGAAUGGCUCGGUAUACUAUCGUUCUUGAGGCAGGUAGGGGCUGCUGGAACCUUAGGUGGAGCGGUGGAAUGCGUAGAUAUCAAGAGGAACGCCAACGGAGAAAUCAGUGCACUGGGCUUGUCCUGACGCUGAGACACGAAAGCGUGGGGAGCGAACAGGAUUAGAUACCCUGGUAGUCC